CGGCGGACGGGUGAGUAACGCGUAGGAAUCUACCUGGUAGUGGGGGACAACUUGGGGAAACUCAAGCUAAUACCGCAUACGCCCUAAGGGGGAAAGUGGGGGAUCUUCGGACCUCACGCUAUCGGAUGAGCCUGCGUAGGAUUAGCUAGUUGGUGAGGUAAAGGCUCACCAAGGCGACGAUCCUUAGCUGGUCUGAGAGGAUGAUCAGCCACACUGGGACUGAGACACGGCCCAG
RNAcentral lists this ribosomal RNA (235 nucleotides) under uncultured bacterium. RNAcentral's name for it is "partial 16S ribosomal RNA". It matches the Rfam family "Bacterial small subunit ribosomal RNA", at positions 96 to 334 of the family's 1533-position model. The record is from RNAcentral.